AGCGAACGCUGGCGGCAGGCUUAACACAUGCAAGUCGAACGCCCCGCAAGGGGAGUGGCAGACGGGUGAGUAACGCGUGGGAAUCUACCCAGAUCUUCGGAACAACACAGGGAAACUUGUGCUAAUACCGGAUACGCCCUACGGGGGAAAGAUUUAUCGGAUUUGGAUGAGCCCGCGUUGGAUUAGCUAGUUGGUGAGGUAAUGGCUCACCAAGGCGACGAUCCAUAGCUGGUCUGAGAGGAUGAUCAGCCACACUGGGACUGAGACACGGCCCAGACUCCUACGGGAGGCAGCAGUGGGGAAUAUUGGACAAUGGGCGAAAGCCUGAUCCAGCCAUGCCGCGUGAGUGAUGAAGGCCUUAGGGUUGUAAAGCUCUUUUAGUGGGGAAGAUAAUGACGGUACCCACAGAAAAAGCCCCGGCUAACUUCGUGCCAGCCGCCGCAGUAA
This 447-nucleotide ribosomal RNA is filed under the name uncultured bacterium. RNAcentral describes it as "partial 16S ribosomal RNA". It matches the Rfam family "Bacterial small subunit ribosomal RNA", at positions 29 to 523 of the family's 1533-position model. The record is from RNAcentral.